This is a non-coding RNA of 185 nucleotides. It matches the Rfam family "6S / SsrS RNA". From Rfam's summary of the family: E. coli 6S RNA was the first non coding RNA to be sequenced, but its function was unknown until recently. It consists of 184 nucleotides that fold into an extended hairpin structure with a large single-stranded internal bulge. The 6S RNA specifically associates with RNA polymerase holoenzyme containing the sigma70 specificity factor. The record is from Rfam.
CAUCCCCUGCGGUGUUCGUAAGCAACCAGGGUAUUUUCUUGAGCCUAACAUCUACCCAGGGAGCAUGAUGAAAGGGCCGGUGUGCAUGUCCGUAUCCUAGCGGGAAGCCUGAAGCUCUUCUGUUGUUCCCACUUGAACCCUCUGGUUCAAGAACAGCGGUUUGCGACGGCACAGGUGGGGGAUGU